Molecule: ribosomal RNA, 606 nt
Filed under: Triticum aestivum (bread wheat)
Lineage: Eukaryota; Viridiplantae; Streptophyta; Magnoliopsida; Poales; Poaceae
Description: partial small subunit ribosomal RNA
Source: RNAcentral
CGCCGCCUCCUUCUCCCGCGACCGUGCCGCCCUCUCGUCCUUCCUCCCGCCUCCCUGUCGUGCCGCCCCGCCGCCUCCUCCCUCGCUUGCUUCCUCCUUUCCUCCCGCCGUUCCCCUCCCCUAACCCUAGAAACCGAGUUUGGGAAGAAGGAGGGGGCAGACAAGGGGGAGGUGCUGGAGAGGAAGGUGGAGGAGUUCUUCAGGGCCCUGAAGAAAGGGCCCGAGGAGGGGAAGGCCGACGACGCUUCGACAGCGGCGAAGAAGAAGGCGGUGUUGGGAGGGGCGCCGAGGCAGGUGAAGCGGGAUGCGGAGAGGGAGGAAGAAGACUGGCCGCGGCCGCACCUCGCGAGCACGAGGAUGGAGCUGCCGCCAAGGUGGGACGGGCCAAUAGGGACCGUCGUGCUCAUCGACAAGCCCAAAGGGUGGACCUCAUUUACUGUUUGUGGAAAACUACGGCGGUUGGUGAAAGUGCAAAAGGUUGGCCAUGCUGGUACUCUGGAUCCUAUGGCCACUGGAUUGUUGAUUGUUUGUGUGGGCAAAGCAACCAAAGUUGUUGAUAGAUAUCAAGGCAUGGUUAAAGGCUAUAGUGGUGUUUUCCGGCUUGGG